AGUGAACGCUGGCGGUAGGCCUAACACGUGCAAGUCGAACGGCAGCACAGGAGAGCUUGCUCUCUGGGUGGCGAGUGGCGGACGGGUGAGGAAUACAUCGGAAUCUACUCUGUCGUGGGGGAUAACGUAGGGAAACUUACGCUAAUACCGCAUACGACCUACGGGUGAAAGCAGGGGACCUUCGGGCCUUGCGCGAUUGAAUGAGCCGAUGUCGGAUUAGCUAGUUGGCGGGGUAAAGGCCCACCAAGGCGACGAUCCGUAGCUGGUCUGAGAGGAUGAUCAGCCACACUGGAGCUGAGACACGGUCCAGACUCCUACGGGAGGCAGCAGUGGGGAAUAUUGGACAAUGGGCGCAAGCCUGAUUCAGCCAUACCGCGUGGGUGAAGAAGGCCUUCGGGUUGUAAAGCCCUUUUGUUGGGAAAGAAAUCCAGCUGGCUAAUACCCGGUUGGGAUGACGGUACCCAAAGAAUAAGCACCGGCUAACUUCGUGCCAGCCGCCGCGGUAA
Molecule: ribosomal RNA, 506 nt
Filed under: uncultured bacterium
Lineage: Bacteria
Description: partial 16S ribosomal RNA
Rfam family: Bacterial small subunit ribosomal RNA
Source: RNAcentral